This 405-nucleotide ribosomal RNA is filed under the name uncultured bacterium. RNAcentral describes it as "bacterial SSU rRNA". It matches the Rfam family "Bacterial small subunit ribosomal RNA", at positions 129 to 518 of the family's 1533-position model. The record is from RNAcentral.
CCCCCCGGCCCGGGAUAGCCCAGGGAAACCUGGAUUAAUACCGGAUGAGACGGGACCCGCGGAUGGCGGGACCCGGGAAAGGCGCUGCGGCGCCGCCGGGGGGAUGAGUCUGCGUCCCAUUAGCUAGACGGCGGGGUAACGGCCCACCGUGGCCGACGAUGGGUAGCCGGCCUGAGAGGGUGGACGGCCACAUUGGAACUGAGACACGGUCCAGACUCCUACGGGAGGCAGCAGCUAAGAAUCUUCCGCAAUGGGCGAAAGCCUGACGGAGCCGACGCCGCGUGAACGAAGAAGGCCGUGAGGUUGUAAAGUUCUUUUCGGGAGGGGAACAACCGUGGCAGGGAAUGGCCGCGGGAUGACGUGAAUCCCGGAAUAAGCCCCGGCUAACUACGUGCCAGCCGCAGC